AGCGAACGCUGGCGGCAGGCUUAACACAUGCAAGUCGAGCGGACCUUUCGGGGUCAGCGGCGGACGGGUGAGUAACGCGUGGGAACGUGCCUUCCGGUUCGGAAUAACCCUGGGAAACUAGGGCUAAUACCGGAUACGCCCUUAUGGGGAAAGGUUUACUGCCGGAAGAUCGGCCCGCGUCUGAUUAGCUAGUUGGUGGGGUAACGGCCUACCAAGGCGACGAUCAGUAGCUGGUCUGAGAGGAUGAUCAGCCACACUGGGACUGAGACACGGCCCAGACUCCUACGGGAGGCAGCAGUGGGGAAUAUUGGACAAUGGGCGCAAGCCUGAUCCAGCCAUGCCGCGUGAGUGAUGAAGGCCUUAGGGUUGUAAAGCUCUUUUAUCCGGGACGAUAAUGACGGUACCGGAGGAAUAAGCCCCGGCUAACUUCGUGCCAGCAGCCGCGGUAAUACGAAGGGGGCUAGCGUUGCUCGGAAUCACUGGGCGUAAAGGGCGCGUAGGCGGCGUUUUAAGUCGGGGGUGAAAGCCUGUGGCUCAACCACAGAAUGGCCUUCGAUACUGGGACGCUUGAGUAUGGUAGAGGUUGGUGGAACUGCGAGUGUAGAGGUGAAACUCGUAGAUAUUCGCAAGAACACCGGUGGCGAAGGCGGCCAACUGGACC
RNAcentral lists this ribosomal RNA (661 nucleotides) under uncultured Alphaproteobacteria bacterium. RNAcentral's name for it is "bacterial SSU rRNA". It matches the Rfam family "Bacterial small subunit ribosomal RNA", at positions 28 to 735 of the family's 1533-position model. Lineage: Bacteria; Pseudomonadati; Pseudomonadota; Alphaproteobacteria. The record is from RNAcentral.